ACACAAGGAGGCGCUGUCUGCAUCCAAGACACACACAUCCACGUACCCAGAUCACCUAAUGUGCAAGUGAAAUGCGAAAAGUAGGAUUGACUUGAUGUUUAAUUAAAAAAAAAUCCUCUAUGCAUGACGACGGUUUUUUUUGUCGGAUUAACCCAGGUGACGUCCAAAGGGUCAGGAUCUUCUUGCCUGACCUCUGACCUGACUUCCUGGAAGGAGAUCACCUGCUGCUCCUCCUAGUUGUGGGACAGCUUCUGUUAAGCCUCGUUCGACUGCAGCCAGCUGAGAUGACGAGAGAUUCAGACAACUUUCUUCAGAUACGGUGUUUGCACAGCUAGAGGUGAAGAGGUGUCACCUGAACUCUGAGAUCACCUGUUAGUCCAACAACGUGAAUGGCGUUGUGUUGUCAGCCAAUGAGGUUUGAGGUUCACUAACACUGGUACCUUUGUACGACUAACAUGCCAGAUGAGACUAAAAUUAAAUGCACUUUAAUUGCCGCCUGUGCCCCCGGUAUGUGUGAGAGUAACGAGACGACAUUUCAACUAAUCAAAUCUCCCGAGGGCUUUAGGAAGGAGCCGCAGUACGUCUGUGUGUAUGAAAUCAUGAAAUUAGAGGAUACCCUACAUCUGAUAAAAGAUGACAACAAACAACUUGUCCAGUCAGUUUCUGCUCUGCAGGCAGACGUCAGGAGCACAAGUCCGCCAUCUUGUGGCCAUUAGAAAACAGAAAAGCUUCGCACCUGCACCUUCUUUUCUCUUUUCUUCACAUCGGUUUGUUUCAUGGUUCAAAGUUUGGACAGUUUUUUUUUUCAUAUUAGCAAUACCUAAUUCAACCGUAAGCUUAUUAAAUGAAACGCAGGUAGUUUCACAGUCAGGCUGCUCUACAUGGAGUUCACUUGAUUUGACUGUUGACAGUUUGAUGUAAAUCUGGAUUCUUUUAAACCAGGUUAAAUUUAGUUGAAGCUGCAUUUAGAACAACAAGUCAUUCAGCUUAAACCUGCUAAAGUGCAAUUUACUGAAUCCUAACCAAGACUUUAAUGUUAACGUCAUACAUGAACCAAUUUCGCAAUAUAUGUAUAUAAUAAAUUACUUGGAUGUAAGUAAUCAGUUAAUUCUAAGUAAAUCUGAGUCAACUGUGUAAAUUACUUAAGUUACAUUACUUCAUUUAGUUAAGAUAUGUUUGAAAUAAGUGACUUUGUUUGCUUUAAAUGUUUGAGCUCCUUAUUUGCAGGGAAAAGCAGCUGGUAUUUAAAAAAAUCCUGAUUCCAUGAGUCAAACAUCCCCCAACACAACUGGCCACCAGGAAAAGUUUGUAACAAUUGUAAUUUAUUUUGCUGUUUGAUUCUCUUUCAUUUCAUCAUCAUAUAUAAUCUUCUUAAUGUGGUUUUAAAGCCAAGAAAUAUACUUCUGGUAGAGGAAUGCUAAAUCCUUGAAACUGUUUUUGGUGUAAACACAGUAAAAUGUAAGAAUAUUGGCUCUAAAAAAUGAAUCAGUCCCUUUAAAAAAGCCCACCAUGUGUAACCGCAGAAAACAAACUCCCCAGAUCAUUAAAAGAAAACAGAAGAUAUGACGUAACUGUGGCCCUGAGGAAAAGUCAUGAUGGUGUGCCAGCCAAUGAUGACGGCUCUUACCUUUUCUUUUAAACCAGAGAUGUACUAUUAUCUGUUAAACUCAGCAAAUCAGAAGAUCAUAGCUGGAUUAUAUAAGGAUUAUUUAAAUAAGAAAGUAAUGAUGUGUAUAUAAUAGUGAUCAUUUGCAUCAACAUGUUAAUCUCUGUGGAAAAAACUCAAAAAAAACCAAACAAACAGGAAAACAAGUACAAGUUUCCAUCCCAUUUAUUCCUGGUUUCUAUUUUGUACAUUAAGCUGCAAUAAAACCAACAGAUCUAAAAAUGACACAUGAAGGAAAAGAAACUCAACGUGGACAGAAAUGCGAGGAGAGACCAUAUCCAAACAAUGACUGGCCGGUCGACUUUACAAAGGCUUCUGAUAAAAAGCAAAAGACGUCUGAUGGCGAUUGAAGGGAAACAGAUUCAGGUUAAUAACUGACUAAACAAUUAAAAAAAAAAAAAAAAAAAAAAAAAGCCAUUGCACUCCUACUUCCCCUGAGGUUCCCAGACACACAAACAGACGGUAAACUUUUUUUUAAAAAGGCACUUAACAAGGGAUUGCAUGAUGUAUCAGUGCAUAUUAAAACUUAAAUUCCACUUCUUCAAAGACGUUUCUCUACAGCGGACCUGGGCCCCGAGAAGAUGAUCUCACACCGUCGUAAGUCGACGGGACGAGAUCGUCUCAGCCUUCGGAUGCUUUUUGGGUGGGGGUGGGGGGGGGGGGGUACGGGGGCCUUGAUCUGUGGGAGGUUCUUUGAAUGUAGAAGGCCUAUAUAAGUAUUUGCUGAAUACUACAGACUUUUAUAUGUAAAAUCCUGUAAGUACAGUCGACCACACAGGCCUGUAAACUGUAACGGCUGGAUGAAGAAAACUGGUUGGUUAAGACCUGGCCGAGAAAUAUAUAUAUAUAUAUUUAUAUAUAUAUAUAUAAUUACCUUUGGUUUGUCUGUGCUUCUGUACUGACGAGCACAUACUGCACAUAUAUAUAUAGAGAGAGAAUCCACCAAAAAACUCCUGAUCCAAAUUAUAUUAAAAUCUUAAGAUCGUUCAAUUAAAGAGGACAUCGUUAAUGAAGAACAAGAUACAUACAUAACAUACAUACAUACAGCGUGUAUGGCCUUCCACAGUACAUUAAAUUUGGAGAAACUCGUUCAUAUGAAAUAUUAGGACAUAGUAGAAACUCAUUCAUUCAUUAAACCUUCAGAAAUUACAGAAGAACAUUUCUGCUUUCAGGUGGAUUCUCACUUAAAAAACAAACAAAAAAAAAAAAAUAUAUAUCAGGUUAAGAAAUGAUAAGCCAAUUUUUUUUUAAAUUACAUAUUCCAAACUGUUGCAUAUACUAGGACUAAGGAUUGCACGUACAUACUAUUAUAGUUCUAUACAGUAUAUAACAUUUAACAUUCUAGUAUAAAAUAUAGUCCUAGGCCUAUCAAUAGAUAUCUUUUCAUAUACAUUCGGGGUAAAGCGUAGGCUGGGCUGGAUCUUGUAUGAAAGCGACAUUUAAAUACAGUCAAACACAGAGUUUCUGUGGCUGGUCGAUGCUUUGACAGAUUAACUGGUUGAUUCUACACAGCAAAAAAAACCGUUCUCCUUUCUCCUCUAAGUCAGCUUUAAAGCAGAGACAUGAUGAAAAAAACAAAACAAACAAA
Molecule: long non-coding RNA, 3254 nt
Organism: Thunnus maccoyii (southern bluefin tuna)
Lineage: Eukaryota; Metazoa; Chordata; Actinopteri; Scombriformes; Scombridae
Exons: 6
Source: RefSeq, a predicted model, not a curated record